UACGAAGGGGGCUAGCGUUGCUCGGAAUCACUGGGCGUAAAGCGCACGUAGGCGGGCUUUUAAGUCGGGGGUGAAAUCCUGGAGCUCAACUCCAGAACUGCCUCCGAUACUGGAAGUCUCAGAGUCCGGGAGAGGUGAGUGGAACUGCGAGUGUAGAGGUGAAAUUCGUAGAUAUUCGCAAGAACACCAGUGGCGAAGGCGGCUCACUGGCCCGGUACUGACGCUGAGGUGCGAAAGCGUGGGGAGCAAA
RNAcentral lists this ribosomal RNA (250 nucleotides) under uncultured bacterium. RNAcentral's name for it is "partial 16S ribosomal RNA". It matches the Rfam family "Bacterial small subunit ribosomal RNA", at positions 524 to 772 of the family's 1533-position model. The record is from RNAcentral.